GACUCAGUAGUUUAUUUGGUAAAGCGUUCGUCUAGCAAACAAGAAUUCUGAGUUCGAAUCUCAGCUGAGCA
RNAcentral lists this transfer RNA (71 nucleotides) under Aedes aegypti (yellow fever mosquito). Its description in RNAcentral is "partial tRNA-OTHER". It matches the Rfam family "tRNA". Rfam says of the family: Transfer RNA (tRNA) molecules are approximately 80 nucleotides in length. Their secondary structure includes four short double-helical elements and three loops (D, anti-codon, and T loops). Further hydrogen bonds mediate the characteristic L-shaped molecular structure. tRNAs have two regions of fundamental functional importance: the anti-codon, which is responsible for specific mRNA codon recognition, and the 3' end, to which the tRNAs corresponding amino acid is attached (by aminoacyl-tRNA synthetases). tRNAs cope with the degeneracy of the genetic code in two manners: having more than one tRNA (with a specific anti-codon) for a particular amino acid; and 'wobble' base-pairing, i.e. permitting non-standard base-pairing at the 3rd anti-codon position. Lineage: Eukaryota; Metazoa; Arthropoda; Insecta; Diptera; Culicidae. The record is from RNAcentral.